This is an RNA transcript of Helianthus annuus (common sunflower), 3769 nucleotides long. RefSeq lists it as uncharacterized. The transcript has 5 exons. The record is from RefSeq and is a predicted model, not a curated record. NCBI's taxonomy places the organism in Eukaryota, Viridiplantae, Streptophyta, Magnoliopsida, Asterales, Asteraceae.
GUUUUAUUCAUAUAAAUACUUUUUUACCGUCAUACAAACAAUAAAAAUCAAGUUGAAGAAGAAUAAAAAUCAACUGUUGUGAUGACGGCAGAUGUUUUGUUUGUGCUCUUUAUUGUCCCUCGAUUAACGCAACGCUGCAAUUUCAAAGUCCAAGUUCCCGGCGCCGGACCCACCACAUCUACGGCCUACAGAGACCGGAAACUACGCUAUCAUCUCACUCAACCUUUGCCAUCCUCCCUCAACCAAUCAUAUUUUCCCACGUCAUCAUUUUACCCUAAACCUACCAAUACCCUCUAGGCACCCAAAACCCCAUGUCCCAAUCUAUCUUGCUCCAUCUUUUUUUUUGAAUGGCUCUUGCUCCAUCUUAUUACCCUAAUCUCAAGAUUAACUCAAAAAGAAACCACCAGGGCCGUUCCUUUGUUAAUCUUGAUCCCCUGCCACAUGAUAUGUUGAUGAUUAAUUAGCGUAUGACAACAUAAAAAAGACAAACAACAAGUGGAGCAGAUAGAGAUGAUGGUGGUGGGGUGAAGAACGCAUUUGAAAAGUAAACACUUCUUCAUCUUUCUGGUUAUAAAUUCCAUCACAACCAAACCACUUAUUGUAAGAUUAUCUUGAAUCAGUCUUUACCUACACCUUUCUUUAUCAUGUUAUCACAAAGCCAACUAAAAAUAUGACACAAAGAUGUCAAAGAUGAUGGUGGUGCUUAUUUGUGUAUUCCAUGAUUAACAUGUUGUUGUUUGGUUGCUAAUUGAUGUGGAGAAAAGAGGGUUUGGUUGUGAACUGACAGAAGAGAGUGAGCACACGCAGGCAAUUGUAUAGAGGACUAUACUCUUGUUUGAGUUGCGUGUGCUCACUUCUCUUCUGUCAGCCCUUACUCUUUUUUUCUCCUCUUGUGUUGAUCUUGAUGUUAUCUGUGUGUUUUUUUGCUUUCUUUUUGUGUUUAUGUGAGCUGAUGUUAUGUGUGUGAGUGGGAAUAUAAUGAUAUAUGUUGUGGGUGUGUGUAUUUUAUGUGCAUUGUUACAUGUUUAUCUAAAUCUGGAAGCAUGGAAGACUGGAGAAGGUGCAGAAAAGAUGGACACCUGGCUACUUGUUUAUACUUUAUAUCCAUCAAUUCAGUUAAACACCACCAGCACACCACUGUUGCAAUGAAAAAGGCUGCAACUUUCACAUGACUAGCUACACCACACCACCACCACUUCUUUAUAUCUUAAAAUAUCUGUUCUUGCUUGGUUUCUUGUAACAUUAAACAGAUUCAAAUAGGAAAUCUAAGAAGAAUAGAAGAAGAGGGACAUUGGGGAUGUUACAGUAAUAUACACAGAUUACAUCACAUGAAGGUUCUUUUCCUAUUGCAAGAUCUAUACUACUGAUUGUUUAAUUCAUUUCUUGAUAUUAUUAUAAUAUAUAUUCAACUUGGGAGUUCCAAAAAUCUGUACUUUUUGUUGAAGAGAGGACGAAAUGGGAUUCUCUUGAAAUCAUUAACAAGGUACUUCAUCAUCUCCUACUAAUCAUUAGGCUAUUGGGUGUCUAGUACUCAAAAGAUAAUCCGGUCACGUGAGGGGAUGAGCCUAAAGGGAUGGAUCUAGAGUGUGGAGAUGGGCCUCAAAAAUAUAUAUAUAUGUAUAUGUGUGUGUUAGUAUAAAGAAGAAAGAGAAGUGUGGCCCCUCUUGCCGGUCUUGGGCUGGACGUUUGCGACGGGGACGACCUGAGGGCGUUGUUCGGGUCAGUCGCCACACCUGGACAUACCAGGGACAAGCCUCACACCGAGCAGUCUUAUUAAUUUUUAUUCUCUUAACUACACUUUAGCGGUUUCUAUUAUCUCUUUCCCCAAAUUUUUCUUUAAAUUUAUCUUUUAGGGUUUUCUUCUGCCAUUUCCAAUGCUUUCUUCUGGUUUCUUUUAGAAUUAAAUGGCUGAAUUCAUGGCUAAGUAUUUGAUUAUUUUCUGGGGCUGAUGUAUUUCACAUCGAAUGAAAUUUAUGUUUAAGAAAAAAGGAAAUUAUUGUGUAAGCGUAAUGUUUUUGUGAUCAGGGUUUUUUUUUGUAUAAAGUGUCGUACUUUUUGCAGGUACACAUACACAUACUUGAAACACACAGAUAACAAGGAUAGAUAGUGUGUUAUAUUUUAUAUAAAACUUUUCGUUUUGUAUGCUAUAUCAAAGACAAUCAGAACAUCUUUCUUUGGGAUGGAAGGAAGAUUGAGAAUAGUUCCAUGGAAGAUGCAUGCAAACAAAAGAGCUAAAGCUUUUGCUUUCCAUACUUCUCAGUGAGGCAUCAAAUCAAAGAGGAAUUUUCAGGCGGUUUCUUAUACAUGUUUGAUAGAGCUGUCAAAACCCAACUAGCAGUAGUCUCUUUCAUGAUGUUGAAAGCCAUGCUCUUUGUCAAAGUGCACCCGAUGACUACUAUGGCUUUGCAUCCAAGUCAGCUCAUUCUUUAACCUUCGUCUUCUAGGUUUCUAACUUGUCAAACACUGAAGAAGAUCUUUCUAACACAACAAGUCCGCAAGUUGCAUCUUUCACCAUCCAAAAUCAUGUCCUUUGACUUCUCAAUCCUGUAAUGCUACCAAGGUUUAUAUCCUCAAGUCAGUCAGGUGUCACCAGCUGUUGAACACUCGAUUGGGCUCUUUUGACUUCUAAGCACUUUGAGGUUGGCAUUUAAAUAUCAUGAAUUUUUUAAUUAUGUGGCAUGAAGAUAGAUGAAUAUGUAUCCUUGGGAACGUAAAUGACACCGCUAAAGUGGAACAAAGAGUUGGUUAAAUUAAUUGAUUAUAAGACCACCCGUAGCGGUAAAGAUUUUGGGUGUUUUUUGCCCCAAAACGCCGCUGCCACUGCCCCUUGGGCGUUGUUUUCAGAAAGGGGGGGGGGGGGGCUUGUGUAAAGAACGCCGGUGAAUGUUUCUCCAUUAUUGUUUGACCAAUCAGAAGCUUCCAAGUAUUAUUUUUUGUUUUAUUUUUUUUAAAAGAUAAUAAUUGGGUAAUAAUUGAUGGGCAUUAUCCCACUACACCCAUAUAUGAAAAACGCUCCAUAAUGCCUCUUUGCUGACUAGGCUGCGGCGCAAAACGCCCAAGAUUGGAACAUUACCACUACACAUGGUCUAAUAGGAGUUAAUAAGAUAUUAUAUAAUUGCCAGACGUUCAUUCUGGUGUUUAAAUGAUUUUUCAGACAUUAAUACAUGCUUAUUCCUUUUCACAGGCAGUUUCAUUUGAAAAUGCUCGUCUUCUCCUACUACUGAUGCAAGUGAUUCGGUUACUAUUGAACCAUAUGUUGGACUUUCGAACAUUGGGUAUGAUACUAGAGCUUUGGAUUAGGCCACAUUUCAAGGUUCUUCUAUCUAACAGUCUGGAAACACUUACCAUAUUCCAUCAAUCAAAUUACGUAAAGACCCAAGCAAGGAUGGCUCGAAUGUAAAAAAAGUAAAAUAAGCUGAAGCUUGGGCCCAAGACGGACCCCUAUAUUUAAGAGCUCCAAGUUUUUAGGGUUCAAGUUGGUUUAAUUUUUUUAGGCUUUUACAAGUAGAGCAAAUAGUUGGUAUAACUGAAAGGGUUUUAUUUUCACCAAGACUUGCUCCAAUUCUGAUGUAUAAAAAAUGUGUCAGAUCAUAUUCCUACGUCUUAGGAUCCUAAGCAGAAAAAGAGGUUGUUGCACUCUACAAUGAAUGCCGGAAAACAUGAUCAGCUCCGUGAUUUGCAACCACUUUUCUGAACACCAGAUGAGGGGGUAUGCAUGCCUCUGUAAAUACAGUUCUGUUAUGUUAUAGAAUAUACAAGUAGGGGUGUC